Molecule: ribosomal RNA, 325 nt
Filed under: uncultured bacterium
Lineage: Bacteria
Description: bacterial SSU rRNA
Rfam family: Bacterial small subunit ribosomal RNA
Source: RNAcentral
AACGAACGCUGGCGGCAGGCCUAAAACAUGCAAGUCGAGCGGGCAUAGCAAUAUGUCAGCGGCGGACGGGUGAAUAACACGUGGGAACAUGCCCUUUGGUACGGAACAACUCAGGGAAACUUGAGCUAAUACCGUAUGUGCCGGUAACGGGAAAGAUUUAUCGCCAAAGGAUUGGCCCGCGUCCGAUUAGCUAGUUGGUGAGGUAACGGCUCACCAAGGCGACGAUCGGUAGCUGGUUUGAGAGAACGAUCAGCCACACUGGGACUGAGACACGGCCCAGACUCCUACGGGAGGCAGCAGUUGGGAAUCUUGGACAAUGGGGGAA